This 508-nucleotide ribosomal RNA is filed under the name uncultured bacterium. Its description in RNAcentral is "bacterial SSU rRNA". It matches the Rfam family "Bacterial small subunit ribosomal RNA", at positions 28 to 496 of the family's 1533-position model. The record is from RNAcentral.
GACGAACGCUGGCGGCGUGCCUAAUACAUGCAAGUCGAACGCACUCUCGUUUAGAUUGAAGGAGCUUGCUCCUGAUUGAUAAACAUUUGAGUGAGUGGCGGACGGGUGAGUAACACGUGGGUAACCUGCCCUAAAGUGGGGGAUAACAUUUGGAAACAGAUGCUAAUACCGCAUAAAACCUAACACCGCAUGGUGUAGGGUUGAAAGAUGGUUUCGGCUAUCACUUUAGGAUGGACCCGCGGUGCAUUAGUUAGUUGGUGAGGUAAAGGCUCACCAAGACCGUGAUGCAUAGCCGACCUGAGAGGGUAAUCGGCCACACUGGGACUGAGACACGGCCCAGACUCCUACGGGAGGCAGCAGUAGGGAAUCUUCCACAAUGGACGAAAGUCUGAUGGAGCAACGCGCGUGAGUGAAGAAGGUUUCGGAUCGUAAAACUCUGUUGUUGGAGAAGAAUGUAUCUGAUAGUAACUGAUCAGGUAGUGACGGUAUCCAAACCAGAAAGCCACGG